Pseudobutyrivibrio xylanivorans DSM 14809 is the source of this 164-nucleotide regulatory RNA element. The record is from Rfam. NCBI's taxonomy places the organism in Bacteria, Bacillati, Bacillota, Clostridia, Lachnospirales, Lachnospiraceae.
UUUUGUAGUGAGCCUAGAAAAAUAAAAAGCUGAUUUUGCAAUGUAUAGUCAGCUGCCGCUAGGACGGCGGCAGCAGUGGUCACUUGAAACACGAUGUUGAAUGUGCCACGGUGACUAUACAUACAAAAUCAUGCUUUUUAAAUUUUUCUUGGCAAAUGGAGUAU